UCGCUUCGGCAGCACAUAUACUAAAAUUGGAACGAUACAGAGAAGAUUAGCAUGGCCCCUGCACAAGGAUGAUACGCAAAUUCGUGAAGCGUUAGGGAGGGAG
RNAcentral lists this small nuclear RNA (103 nucleotides) under Jaculus jaculus (lesser Egyptian jerboa). Lineage: Eukaryota; Metazoa; Chordata; Mammalia; Rodentia; Dipodidae. The record is from RNAcentral.